ACGAACGGGGCUAAUACCGGAUAACACAUGAAACCGCAUGGUUUCAUGAUGAAAGACGGUUUUGCUGUCACUUAUAGAUGGACCCGCGGCGUAUUAGCUAGUUGGUAAGGUAACGGCUUACCAAGGCAACGAUACGUAGCCGACCUGAGAGGGUGAUCGGCCACACUGGAACUGAGACACGGUCCAG
RNAcentral lists this ribosomal RNA (187 nucleotides) under uncultured Staphylococcus sp. RNAcentral's name for it is "partial 16S ribosomal RNA". It matches the Rfam family "Bacterial small subunit ribosomal RNA", at positions 153 to 334 of the family's 1533-position model. The record is from RNAcentral. Lineage: Bacteria; Bacillati; Bacillota; Bacilli; Caryophanales; Staphylococcaceae.